This is a long non-coding RNA of Mesocricetus auratus (golden hamster), 2579 nucleotides long. RefSeq lists it as uncharacterized. NCBI's taxonomy places the organism in Eukaryota, Metazoa, Chordata, Mammalia, Rodentia, Cricetidae. The transcript has 2 exons. The record is from RefSeq and is a predicted model, not a curated record.
CAGGAUGUAGCUCUCAGCUAGUCCUCCAGUAUCCUGUCUUCCCGCCUGCUGCCAUGCUCUCUGAGGAGAUGAUAAUGGAUUAAGCCUUUGAAACUGGAAGGAAGAAACUGAGGUCUACAAGUGUGAUGAGAGUCACACUCCGUCAUGACAGGAAGAGGGAAACAAGCUGCAUGUCCUCCGGGAAGGGAUUGACGGUGACCACACUACUCAUAAAGCAAAGAGGGAAGCAGUAGCCACACCCACUGGGAAGAGAACGGCCAAUCCAUCGUAACAACUCCAUUCUGCGAGUAGGAGCGCACUUCACUAAGAAAAACAUGCAUGUCACAUAAAGGGAUCCUGAGACCCAGGAGCCAGCCAUGGCCACAUGCCACUCAGCCAUCAGAAGUGCAGGGAGCUGGUGUCCCUUGCUUUAGAGCUUUGUGAUAUCACUAUUCUGUCCCACUUUGUGGCUGUGUUCUUCCUGGGAGUUCCCAGUCAAAGGCUGAAGGUGGCUGGCAUACGAACAUCUAGCGAUUUCUUCCCAAGGAGGCAAGCACUCCUACAUAAGGCCAGGUUGACUCUGGACUCCACCAGGCUGUGGGCAAUCUGUGUGAUACUUUUCUCACACAAUCCUCCUCUCAUGGAUGUCAUUUAGUUAACCUCUCUCUCUCUCUCUCUCUCUCUCUCUCUCUCUCUCUCUCUCUCUCUCUCUCUCUCUCUGCCUCUCUCCUCUGUCUCUGACUCUGUGUCUCUGUCUCUGUCUUCUUCCCAGAGGUGAGCAAACCAACACUCAAUGAUGACUGAAAAUAGCAAGGCACAGGUAACACAGACACUAUGAUGCCUUUAUGCAAAUCACAAAACAGACACCAACAUGAAGUUUUUAGGGUAGAGAAAGGAAAAGAAAAACUUAAGUGAGGUACAGGGUGGAGGAGAGGUAAAGAAGGGAAGGGGGAGGGGGACAGAGGAGGAGAAAAAGGGGAGGUGAUGAGCUCACCAAUCUAGGGAACACUUGUUCCCCCCACACACUUAUAUGCACGGUAGGAAUGUGUUGGAAGUUCUGGAAAAGCCCUCCGGUGGACACAGCUAUUUCCCAAGCAGGGAAGGCUCUGCAAUGGCAUGCAUGGGACUGUAAUUCUUUGCUUCUAUUCCAUCUUCAUAAGGAGAAUGCAAUUGGGUGUUGCUUAUAUCACUAAGAAUUUUAAAACCACACACCUGUUACUAGAAAUCCAGGUCUCCUGGACCAUGACUGAGUUGAUGCCAAGACGAUCCCAGAGUCUCUGCUUGAGUUGUGUUCAAGAAGAAUCUGCCAGCCAGUCUGCUCUCAUCCCCUGCUUCCGUUGGACUUGACAGCCGCAACUUGAUUCCUCAGGAAGGUGUCCAGAAAGGUCUAUGGUGUGUUUUAAAUUGCUCUACUAGUCCCCUGACCACACAGGGCAGAGCCGCUAUAACUCCCCAGCAAAGAACCCUCAGCACUUGUAAAUCUCCCCACCCACAGGAGUGCGCCCAGACUGCUUCUGGGUGAUGCUAAAUCUACAGUCGUGCAGGAGAAAGCAGCACUGGUCGUGGCUAUGGCCGCUUUCCCUCUGAAGUUCUCAGGGUCUGCUGCUCCUCCUUCCCGCUCUUGCCCCCUUCCUUCCUCCCUGUCUCUUCCUUCCUCUCCCUCUCCUUGACUCCCAACCUCUUCGUCCCCUCCCUCAGCGUCCCUCCCCAAUACUCAAGGGGAGGCUCGGUAGAAGGGGAGCCCCAGGCACAGCUGCACGAGGCUAGAUGCUCCCUCUUUGGGCUGCUGGCUAGUUUCUCUUCUGCGGUUUCGCACUGGCCCUGGGAGGUUGAUGUCGGGGUCUGCCGUCUUGAUUGAUCUGAACACCUUUCCGUAGUACGCACGCGCGCACACACACACACACACACACACACACACACACACACACAGAGGUGUGCUAUGUCAACAAAAAAUGACACCUGAGGCCAAGAGAGAUAAACUGUCCGUGUAUAAGGAGCUAAAAGUCUGAGUUAUGGCUUUGGUGGCUCAGCAAAGGGCGGCGGGUUCAGGGGCUGCCAGGGAGAGUGAGGACGUGUGAGAGCUCAUCUUAGAAGACAAGUCAGAGACAGAAGUUCUCAGAGGUCCCAGCAUGGCCACCUUUGAAACUACAUUAGCCUCCCAGGGUAGGCAUCCUCUUCCAGGUACUGAGCAUGAUCCUCACUCACCAAACACAAUGGCUUCACAGGAGGGAGCCAUCACCUCCAUUAAGCCUAUCAGGAUGAGACACCCGCCUAUGACCACUGCCAGGGCUCUGGUGGCACAAGGUUCGGUGGGAAUCAUGUGUUCUCAACACCAAGCACUCAACACUUGUGCCAUGAGCAGCAUGCUCCAGCCAGAUCUUCGUGGACACCCAUCCCAGAAAUGAGCUGUGAGAGGGAACGAAAGGAUUGAGGGCAGACGUCAAUCACAGCAAACUCAGUCGGCAUCUGUUUUGUGACUGGCUGAGGAAGUGGGGGGUGGGAGGGUGGCAGAUGUCCAUGGAGCACCUUGGGUGAUAAGGGCGUUUUGGUUCUGUACUUCUUUUUCUUUUCCUAAUUAAUAAAAAUUCGCAUUUCCUUUG